This 490-nucleotide ribosomal RNA is filed under the name uncultured bacterium. RNAcentral's name for it is "partial 16S ribosomal RNA". It matches the Rfam family "Bacterial small subunit ribosomal RNA", at positions 30 to 507 of the family's 1533-position model. The record is from RNAcentral.
AUUGAACGCUGGCGGCAGGCCUAACACAUGCAAGUCGAACGGUAACAGGAAGCAGCUUGCUGCUUCGCUGACGAGUGGCGGACGGGUGAGUAAUGUCUGGGAAGCUGCCUGAUGGAGGGGGAUAACUACUGGAAACGGUAGCUAAUACCGCAUAAUGUCGCAGGACCAAAGAGGGGGACCUUCGGGCCUCUUGCCAUCGGAUGUGCCCAGAUGGGAUUAGCUUGUUGGUGGGGUAACGGCUCACCAAGGCGACGAUCCCUAGCUGGUCUGAGAGGAUGACCAGCCACACUGGAACUGAGACACGGUCCAGACUCCUACGGGAGGCAGCAGUGGGGAAUAUUGCACAAUGGGCGCAAGCCUGAUGCAGCCAUGCCGCGUGUAUGAAGAAGGCCUUCGGGUUGUAAAGUACUUUCAGCGGGGAGGAAGGGAGUAAAGUUAAUACCUUUGCUCAUUGACGUUACCCGCAGAAGAAGCACCGGCUAACUCCGUG